Long non-coding RNA from Nerophis ophidion (straightnose pipefish), 861 nucleotides. RefSeq lists it as uncharacterized. The record is from RefSeq and is a predicted model, not a curated record. The transcript is spliced from 4 exons. NCBI's taxonomy places the organism in Eukaryota, Metazoa, Chordata, Actinopteri, Syngnathiformes, Syngnathidae.
CUAUAGGCCACAUUUACCUUCUCCUAGUUUUUCUCCUCGCUCUAGGGAUUUUUUUACAAACUAGUAUACCGCGUUUUUCACCUUUAAGUGACAUUUUGUGUUUUACGAGCUCCACGCUUGCUAGUAUCCUAAUUUUUGUAUUUUUGUCCUGUGUUUAAUUUAUUAAAGACCUUAAGCUUGCCUGCACGCUACUCCUGCUUGUCUUCUGCCUUGGAAGGAACGCUACUAGUGCAGCCAUGCACCCAGCCAUGCAAGUAGUAACACAAAUCAUCCGUCCGCCUGCUGGCGAGUCGGCGCCUGCUAAUUAAGUCGACAAGAGGCGCUCGGCGGUGCCAAACAGGGGGACGUAGUUUCCCAGGAAGUCGCCGACGGCUGUCAGGCAGACACUUUUUAAUUCCCGGUCGACGAUGUAAUGGACGGUCAUACAGACAGUUCUGGUCAGCACCAAGUGUUCCCCAGUACAGUAUUACGUCUAGUGACGCCCCUGGUGUGAAGUGCCGAAGAUGUGGGAGUGGGGCACAGGGAAGGGGUUUGUUGCGUCUUCACUGGAUUGUCCUUGGGGAAUUUUAAAGAGCAGUGCAAAAAGAGGCAACAAGAAAGUUACAAAACAAAGAAGCAAGCAGGAGAGACAAGGGAGCGUCUGACAAUUCGAUGAGAGCCAGUGAGGAAAAAAUACAUGAUUAAUACAGUUUUUUUGUUUGCAUGUGUUAAGCCCUAACAUUAACAUCAUUGUAUUUAUUAAUUUUUAUAUUUUUAUUUUGUAAUUGCUGCGACUUGUGCAGGGUGUACCCCACCUACCACCAGAGUGCAGCUGAAUUAGGCUCAAGCACCAUCCAAAAGGGACAAGCGGUAGGAAAUGGA